Molecule: unclassified non-coding RNA, 164 nt
Filed under: Crithidia fasciculata
Lineage: Eukaryota; Euglenozoa; Kinetoplastea; Trypanosomatida; Trypanosomatidae
Source: RNAcentral
AAAUGUUCUAAAUAACAAAAAGGACAAUAGGGGUUUAAUAUGAGAGAACGUAAUUUUUUUAAAUUAUGUUUUUUCGUGUUAGAUUUUUAUUAUUUUUUUUGUUAUUUAGAAAUUUAUGUUGUCUUUUAACGUCAGGAUGUCUAUUAAGAGUGUAUGGUGUUGGA